Non-coding RNA from Paramuricea clavata, 684 nucleotides. Lineage: Eukaryota; Metazoa; Cnidaria; Anthozoa; Malacalcyonacea; Plexauridae. The record is from the annotation of a GenBank genome assembly.
GACAUUGAGGAACCGAUCAUUGAUAAUGGGAGGUGGCUGUGGGUGAGAAAAUAGGGGCGCUCCCAUGUAAUUUAGCCUGAAUGGGGGCGGCCUCAAACCCCAAAAUCUGUGCCAGGGGGCUGCUUUAUACAAUAUAAAUGACCAUAAAUAUUUUAAUAUAUGUAUAUUUUAAUAAGGAAGGGGGGGGUUACAGAAUUCGAUAUGGAAUUCGGGCUCAAGAAAAAGUGCAGUGUUGAGAGUUCCUCAUGCACCCACAGCCCCCGCCAUUAUUGAUGACCAGUUUCUAAUGCAUGGGAUAAGAAUUAGAUAACUAAUAAUACUUAUUGACUGGGACCGAGGAAAGAACCCGUGACUGCCACAAAUAUUGGGAGUUGAGGAUGCACAAAACACACCCUUUCCCGAAUGUUCCAGUCAAUAUAUAGGUAGCUCAUUAUACAUCACGUCAAAGAAAAAAACAAAAAAAACAAGAAAGCUCCAUGACUGGAGCUAACUUAGAGCUGUUGCCAGUUGAAUUUAUGACUUUCACGUGAUACGCUCUCCUCCAAUGAGAUGCAUGAAUGCAUGAACUUUGACACUUGGUAUACAAUAGAACCUGUUUUAAUUUGUUUUCAAUUUUAUCGUUCUUAGAAACCAGGACCACCGGGACCCCAGGGACCACAAGGACGUCGAGGGAGUCCUGGGCCC